CAGGACCCAUUAGUUCAGAGGAGCCUUGCCGCUCGGUGCAGGAUGAGAGAUGGUGCCGGCACUGUGGCACAGCGGCCUGAGAGGAGAACAGUAGUAGCUGGAUGGCCAGCUUUACAUGGAUCCCCAGAGAACUGAAAGUCUGAUACAACAAUUGUAAAAAUGCACACCUUUGACCUUUUCAAUAAUGGAUGAAGAAAUCUAACUCCAAGAAAUCAAAAUCCC
Molecule: long non-coding RNA, 222 nt
Filed under: Fukomys damarensis (Damara mole-rat)
Lineage: Eukaryota; Metazoa; Chordata; Mammalia; Rodentia; Bathyergidae
Description: lncRNA (ENSFDAG00000030514.1)
Source: RNAcentral